UCGCACCUACCGAUUGAAUGAUUCGGUGAAAAUCUCGGACCGUUACAUUGAGCUCUUCAUUGAGCACAAAGUUAUGGGAAGUUAUUUAAACCUCAUCAUUUAGAGGAAGGUG
RNAcentral lists this ribosomal RNA (112 nucleotides) under uncultured eukaryote. RNAcentral describes it as "partial small subunit ribosomal RNA". It matches the Rfam family "Eukaryotic small subunit ribosomal RNA", at positions 1676 to 1785 of the family's 1831-position model. The record is from RNAcentral.